Molecule: ribosomal RNA, 464 nt
Filed under: uncultured bacterium
Lineage: Bacteria
Description: partial 16S ribosomal RNA
Rfam family: Bacterial small subunit ribosomal RNA
Source: RNAcentral
CUACGGGCCGCACCAGUGGGGAAUAUUGCACAAUGGGCGCAAGCCUGAUGCAGCCAUGCCGCGUGUAUGAAGAAGGCCUUCGGGUUGUAAAGUACUUUCAGCGGGGAGGAAGGGAGUAAAGUUAAUACCUUUGCUCAUUGACGUUACCCGCAGAAGAAGCACCGGCUAAAGCCGUGCCAGCAGCCGCGGUAAUACGGAGGGUGCAAGCGUUAAUCGGAAUUACUGGGCGUAAAGCGCACGCAGGCGGUUUGUUAAGUCAGAUGUGGAAUCCCCGGGCUCAACCUGGGAACUGCAUCUGAUACUGGCAAGCUUGAGUCUCGUAGAGGGGGGUAGAAUUCCAGGUGUAGCGGUGAAAUGCGUAGAGAUCUGGAGGAAUACCGGUGGCGAAGGCGGCCCCCUGGACGAAGACUGACGCUCAGGUGCGAAAGCGUGGGGAGCAAACAGGAUUAGAUACCCCCGUAGUC